CUCUCUGCCGGAGCUAACGCAUUAAGUGCCCCGCCUGGGGAGUACGGCCGCAAGGCUAAAACUCAAAAGAAUUGACGGGGGCUCGCACAAGCGGUGGAGCAUGUGGCUUAAUUCGAUGCAACGCGAAGAACCUUACCGGGGCUUGACAUGAUAGAAGUAGGAACCCGAAAGGGCGAA
RNAcentral lists this ribosomal RNA (177 nucleotides) under uncultured bacterium. RNAcentral describes it as "partial 16S ribosomal RNA". It matches the Rfam family "Bacterial small subunit ribosomal RNA", at positions 839 to 1013 of the family's 1533-position model. The record is from RNAcentral.